Molecule: ribosomal RNA, 468 nt
Filed under: uncultured bacterium
Lineage: Bacteria
Description: partial 16S ribosomal RNA
Rfam family: Bacterial small subunit ribosomal RNA
Source: RNAcentral
GACGAACGCUGGCGGCGGGCUUAACACAUGCAAGUCGAACGGAAAGGCCCUGCGUUUGUGGGCUGCUCGAUGGCCGAACGGGGGCGGAACACGUGAGUAACCUGCCCUUGACUUUGGGAUAACUUCACGAAACGGGGGCUACGACCGUAUAGGAUCUCCUGCUGCAGGGUGGGCAUUGGAAAGUUGCGGCGGUUGGGGUUGGACGCGCGGCUGAUCGGCUAGUUGGUUGGCGAGGUGCUUACCAAGGCAUUGAAGGAUAGCCGGCCUGAGAGGGGGGCCGGGGACAUUAGGACUGCGAGAGGGACCAGAGGCGUACGGGAGGCAGCAGUGGGGAGUCUUGUCCAAUGGGAGGAAGCGUGAUGCAGAAGCGUCGCGUGCGGGAUGACGGUUUGCGGGUUGUAAACAGCUUUAGCUUGUGACGAAGCGUGAGUGACGGUAAUGGGUAAAGAAGCACCGGCUAACUACGUG